Molecule: ribosomal RNA, 379 nt
Filed under: uncultured bacterium
Lineage: Bacteria
Description: bacterial SSU rRNA
Rfam family: Bacterial small subunit ribosomal RNA
Source: RNAcentral
UAAUACGUAGGUGGCAAGCGUUGUCCGGAAUUAUUGGGCGUAAAGCGCGCGCAGGCGGUUUCUUAAGUCUGAUGUGAAAUCUUGCGGCUCAACCGCAAGCGGUCAUUGGAAACUGGGAGGCUUGAGUGCAGAAGAGGAGAGUGGAAUUCCACGUGUAGCGGUGAAAUGCGUAGAGAUGUGGAGGAACACCAGUGGCGAAGGCGGCUCUCUGGUCUGUAACUGACGCUGAGGCGCGAAAGCGUGGGGAGCAAACAGGAUUAGAUACCCUGGUAGUCCACGCCGUAAACGAUGAGUGCUAAGUGUUAGAGGGUUUCCGCCCUUUAGUGCUGCAGCUAACGCAUUAAGCACUCCGCCUGGGGAGUACGGCCGCAAGGCUGAA